UACGGGAGGCAGCAGUGGGGAAUAUUGCACAAUGGGCGCAAGCCUGAUGCAGCCAUGCCGCGUGUAUGAAGAAGGCCUUCGGGUUGUAAAGUACUUUCAGUCGUGAGGAAGGUGUUAAGGUUAAUAACCUUAGCAAUUGACGUUAGCGACAGAAGAAGCACCGGCUAACUCCGUGCCAGCAGCCGCGGUAAUACGGAGGGUGCGAGCGUUAAUCGGAAUUACUGGGCGUAAAGGGCACGCAGGCGGUUAAUUAAGUUGGAUGUGAAAUCCCCGGGCUUAACCUGGGAAUGGCAUUCAAGACUGGUUAGCUAGAGUCUUGUAGAGGGGGUAGAAUUCCAUGUGUAGCGGUGAAAUGCGUAGAGAUGUGGAGGAAAUACCGGUGGCGAAAGGCGGCCCCUGGACAAAGGACUGACGCUCAUGUGCGAAAAGCGUGGGGAGCAAACAGGGAUUAGAUACC
RNAcentral lists this ribosomal RNA (457 nucleotides) under uncultured bacterium. Its description in RNAcentral is "bacterial SSU rRNA". It matches the Rfam family "Bacterial small subunit ribosomal RNA", at positions 340 to 786 of the family's 1533-position model. The record is from RNAcentral.